UGAGAGGAUGAGAAUCUCCGAAGGAGGUUUGAGCCGAACGUAGUGAGACCACGUUGCUUUAGCAACGGCCCGCAGGGCAAGCAUCGAAGAUGCGCAUAAUCCUCUCAUGCCGACCA
RNAcentral lists this small RNA (116 nucleotides) under Serratia marcescens. Its description in RNAcentral is "RtT sRNA". It matches the Rfam family "RtT RNA", at positions 15 to 130 of the family's 130-position model. From Rfam's summary of the family: This family represents a bacterial cis-regulatory element known as RtT RNA. The exact function of RtT is unknown although it is thought that it may be involved in changing the cellular response in relation to amino acid starvation. Lineage: Bacteria; Pseudomonadati; Pseudomonadota; Gammaproteobacteria; Enterobacterales; Yersiniaceae. The record is from RNAcentral.